This 105-nucleotide small nuclear RNA is filed under the name Panthera leo (lion). The record is from RNAcentral. Lineage: Eukaryota; Metazoa; Chordata; Mammalia; Carnivora; Felidae.
GCUUGCUUUGGCAGUGCAUAUACUAAAAUUAGAACGAUACAGAGAGUAUUAGCAUGGCCCCUGUGCAAGGAUGACACACAAAUUCAUAAAGUGUUCCUUAUUUUU